RNAcentral lists this long non-coding RNA (669 nucleotides) under Malus domestica (apple). RNAcentral describes it as "long non-coding RNA (MDOM_LNC011197)". Lineage: Eukaryota; Viridiplantae; Streptophyta; Magnoliopsida; Rosales; Rosaceae. The record is from RNAcentral.
AAGGAGACAUAACUAAAAGAGGGUUUUGACAUGAGAUUAAAGAUUAAAAGGGUCCAAUGCCCAAAUUAGCAAUGAAUGAUUGUCUUUCAUUUCUAAUGGCUCAAUUAAAAUGGUUUUAAUUGGAUUGAUAAGCACGUAAUUAAAUUGACACAACCUCCCCGAGUUUAUAUUCAACAAUGAUGGCUCGUUGUUGCAAUAACCUAAUAAGUCCAUAGUCAUCCAAGAGCCUAAGAUAACUAUAAAGUCCAAUUUCAAAGGAAUGCAAAAACCAUAGUAGUAGUAGUUACUUCCAAUAUUUGAAAAAUUUGUUUUUGAUAUUGAUUUGUUUUUUCUCAAAACAAAUAGUGGGAGUAUCAUACGCUACUAGACUAUAAUGAAUACAAUUAGUAGUUAUAUAAAUAUCUCCAAUAUUUUGAAAAAUGUUUUGAUAUUGAUUUGUUUUAUGAAAACGAAUAGUGGGGAUAUUAUAUGCUACUAAAUUCAUUAACUUUGGACUAGUAGUUAUAAUAGGACAAUUUAUUUGAUUGUGAUUAAAUAAAUAAAAUUGAUGAGACCUUAAAAUCCCUCAACCAAACAAUAUUAAGUUGUAAGCGUAAAAGUGCUUAGAACACUUUUUCGUGGCCUUCCACCGUGGUAGGCUCCAAGCGUUUAUGACUUGUACACCGCCUU